This 483-nucleotide ribosomal RNA is filed under the name uncultured bacterium. RNAcentral's name for it is "bacterial SSU rRNA". It matches the Rfam family "Bacterial small subunit ribosomal RNA", at positions 9 to 482 of the family's 1533-position model. The record is from RNAcentral.
GAGUUUGAUCAUGGCUCAGAUUGAACGCUGGCGGUAUGCAUAACACAUGCAAGUCGAACGGUAGCAGGCUCGGGAAACCGAGUGCUGACGAGUGGCGGACGGGUGAGUAAUGCGUAGGGAUUUGCCUAGUAGAGGGGGAUAACCUGGGGAAACUCAGGCUAAUACCGCAUAUGCCUAAGGGUGAAAGAGGGGGACCGUAAAAGGCCUCUUGCUACUGGAUGAACCUGCGUAGGAUUAGCUAGUUGGUAGGGUAAAGGCCUACCAAGGCGAAGAUCCUUAACUGGUCUGAGAGGACGACCAGUCACACUGGGACUGAGACACGGCCCAGACUCCUACGGGAGGCAGCAGUGGGGAAUAUUGGACAAUGGGCGCAAGCCUGAUCCAGCAAUACCGCGUGUGUGAAGACGGCCUUCGGGUUGUUAAGCACUUUCAGGGGGGAAGAAGGGGUAAGUACUAAUACUACUUAUCAUUGACGUUACCCUC